This 253-nucleotide ribosomal RNA is filed under the name uncultured bacterium. Its description in RNAcentral is "partial 16S ribosomal RNA". It matches the Rfam family "Bacterial small subunit ribosomal RNA", at positions 524 to 776 of the family's 1533-position model. The record is from RNAcentral.
UACGAAGGGGGCUAGCGUUGCUCGGAAUGACUGGGCGUAAAGGGCGCGUAGGCGGAUGGCACAGUCAGAUGUGAAAUUCCCGGGCUUAACCUGGGGGCUGCAUUUGAUACGUGUGAUCUAGAGUGAGGAAGAGGGUCGUGGAAUUCCCAGUGUAGAGGUGAAAUGCGUAGAUAUUGGGAGGAACACCGGUGGCGAAGGCGGCCCCCUGGACCGGUACUGACGCUGAGGCGCGAAAGCGUGGGUAGCAAACGGG